RNAcentral lists this ribosomal RNA (475 nucleotides) under uncultured soil bacterium. RNAcentral's name for it is "bacterial SSU rRNA". It matches the Rfam family "Bacterial small subunit ribosomal RNA", at positions 26 to 518 of the family's 1533-position model. The record is from RNAcentral.
AGGACGAACGCUGGCGGCGUGCUUAACACAUGCAAGUCGAGCGGUAAGGCCUUUCGGGGUACACGAGCGGCGAACGGGUGAGUAACACGUGGGUGAUCUGCCCUGCACUCUGGGAUAAGCCUGGGAAACUGGGUCUAAUACCGGAUAUGACCUGCUCUCGCAUGGGGGUGGGUGGAAAGAUUUAUCGGUGCAGGAUGGGCCCGCGGCCUAUCAGCUUGUUGGUGGGGUAAUGGCCUACCAAGGCGACGACGGGUAGCCGACCUGAGAGGGUGACCGGCCACACUGGGACUGAGACACGGCCCAGACUCCUACGGGAGGCAGCAGUGGGGAAUAUUGCACAAUGGGCGAAAGCCUGAUGCAGCGACGCCGCGUGAGGGAUGAAGGCCUUCGGGGUUGUAAACCGUCUUUCAGCAGGACGAAGCGCAAGUGACGGUACCUGCAGAAGAAGCACCGGCUAACACGUGCCAGCAGCCGC